This 492-nucleotide ribosomal RNA is filed under the name uncultured bacterium. Its description in RNAcentral is "bacterial SSU rRNA". It matches the Rfam family "Bacterial small subunit ribosomal RNA", at positions 980 to 1482 of the family's 1533-position model. The record is from RNAcentral.
UUUGACAUGUGCGUAGUAGUGAAGCGAAAGCGGAACGACCUUAACCGGAGCGCACACAGGUGCUGCAUGGCUGUCGUCAGCUCGUGCCGUGAGGUGUUAGGUUAAGUCCUAUAACGAGCGCAGCCCCUGCUGCCAGUUACAAGUGUCUGGCGGGACUGCCGGUCAUAAGCCGGAGGAAGGUGGGGACGACGUCAAGUCAGCAUGGCCUUUAUAUCCUGGGCUACACACACGCUACAAUGGCCGGUACAAUGGGCCGCAAAGCCGCGAGGCGGAGCCAAUCCCAGCAAAGCCGGUCUCAGUUCGGAUUGCAGGCUGCAACCCGCCUGCAUGAAGUUGGAGUUGCUAGUAAACGCGCGUCAGCCAUAGUGCGUUGAAUACGUUCCCGGGCCUUGUACUACACCGCCCGUCACGUCAUGGGAGCUGACAACACCUGAAGCCGGUGGGCCAACCGCAAGGGGGCAGCCGUCGAAGGUGGGGUUGGUGACUGGGACG